UUGAUUCAUUUUGAAUUUUUGCUCAGAGCUGUAAGAAAUAACGUCCGCGAGGGGACUACAGAAAGAGUUUGGUUGGUUCCUCCGGCGGGCGCCUGGUUCCGGGGCGUGACCCCGCCGAGGCAACAGUUUGGUAACGUUCACAUUGGGUUUGGGAGUUGUAAACUCGGUAAUGAUCCCUCCGCUGGUUCACCAACGGAGA
Molecule: unclassified non-coding RNA, 199 nt
Filed under: uncultured fungus
Lineage: Eukaryota; Fungi
Description: sequence contains ITS1
Source: RNAcentral